This 424-nucleotide ribosomal RNA is filed under the name uncultured bacterium. RNAcentral's name for it is "bacterial SSU rRNA". It matches the Rfam family "Bacterial small subunit ribosomal RNA", at positions 355 to 776 of the family's 1533-position model. The record is from RNAcentral.
UGAGGAAUAUUGGACAAUGGAGGCAACUCUGAUCCAGCCAUGCCGCGUGCAGGAUGACUGCCCUAUGGGUUGUAAACUGCUUUUAUACAGGAAGAACCGCCUUGACGUGUCAGGGUUUGACGGUACUGUAAGAAUAAGGAUCGGCUAACUCCGUGCCAGCAGCCGCGGUAAUACGGAGGAUCCAAGCGUUAUCCGGAAUCAUUGGGUUUAAAGGGUCCGUAGGUGGUUAUUUAAGUCAGAGGUGAAAUCCUGCAGCUCAACUGUAGAAUUGCCUUUGAUACUGAAUAACUUGAGUUAUUGUGAAGUAGUUAGAAUGUGUAGUGUAGCGGUGAAAUGCAUAGAUAUUACACAGAAUACCGAUUGCGAAGGCAGAUUACUAACAAUAUACUGACACUGAUGGACGAAAGCGUGGGUAGCGAACAGG